This 692-nucleotide ribosomal RNA is filed under the name Pseudomonas sp. JA66-2. RNAcentral describes it as "bacterial SSU rRNA". It matches the Rfam family "Bacterial small subunit ribosomal RNA", at positions 93 to 781 of the family's 1533-position model. Lineage: Bacteria; Pseudomonadati; Pseudomonadota; Gammaproteobacteria; Pseudomonadales; Pseudomonadaceae. The record is from RNAcentral.
CAGCGGCGGACGGGUGAGUAAUGCCUAGGAAUCUGCCUGGUAGUGGGGGACAACGUUUCGAAAGGAACGCUAAUACCGCAUACGUCCUACGGGAGAAAGCAGGGGACCUUCGGGCCUUGCGCUAUCAGAUGAGCCUAGGUCGGAUUAGCUAGUUGGUGGGGUAAUGGCUCACCAAGGCGACGAUCCGUAACUGGUCUGAGAGGAUGAUCAGUCACACUGGAACUGAGACACGGUCCAGACUCCUACGGGAGGCAGCAGUGGGGAAUAUUGGACAAUGGGCGAAAGCCUGAUCCAGCCAUGCCGCGUGUGUGAAGAAGGUCUUCGGAUUGUAAAGCACUUUAAGUUGGGAGGAAGGGCAGUAAGCUAAUACCUUGCUGUUUUGACGUUACCGACAGAAUAAGCACCGGCUAACUCUGUGCCAGCAGCCGCGGUAAUACAGAGGGUGCAAGCGUUAAUCGGAAUUACUGGGCGUAAAGCGCGCGUAGGUGGUUUGUUAAGUUGGAUGUGAAAGCCCCGGGCUCAACCUGGGAACUGCAUCCAAAACUGGCAAGCUAGAGUACGGUAGAGGGUGGUGGAAUUUCCUGUGUAGCGGUGAAAUGCGUAGAUAUAGGAAGGAACACCAGUGGCGAAGGCGACCACCUGGACUGAUACUGACACUGAGGUGCGAAAGCGUGGGGAGCAAACAGGAUUAG